UAAUCAAAAAUAUCUUUCUGUCGGUAGCAGGACGUUCGAGAAUUAAAACAGUUUGAAUUCAAACUGUUUUUAAAGAAAUGGAAACAAAAAAUCGAAUUGAGAUUGCUGACAUUAGUAACAUUAAAUAUUUUAAAUAUGGCCGAAAGUCCAAGGGUUUAUCAAGUGAAUCGGUUAUGAA
Molecule: ribosomal RNA, 178 nt
Filed under: Chlamydomonas priscui
Lineage: Eukaryota; Viridiplantae; Chlorophyta; Chlorophyceae; Chlamydomonadales; Chlamydomonadaceae
Description: Chlamydomonas sp. UWO 241 large subunit ribosomal RNA
Source: RNAcentral